CCUAAAAUCCAAAUACUUGUAGACAAAAUAGUCCAACCUUCCCUACACUGUCACUGCUGAAGAAUGCCAUGAGUAUCCUGUGUUUUCAAAUAUUCAAGGGAGAAAACAGAACAGGACUCUUAAGAAGUCUGGUGGAAGUCAAGCUUUCACAAAAGUAGUUACUCCAACUUUCGAAAGCUUGUCUUACCCAUGUGGCCCUUUCUGUAUGGCUGUAAGUGGUGAACAGGAAGUGGGAGCUGCCGGGAUGCAGAUGCCGAAGGAACAGAGAUGCCCAUUCCCAGGUGAGCUCAGGCCAAGAAGAAUGGAAGCAGAGGAAAGCUGACCCAGCCCUAAGUGGCAAGAUCUGGGGGCUAAGAGUUUGAAAAACUCAACACACCAGCUUCUUGGAAGAAACCAGAGUCUUCCUGGAACCCAGAGAAGGAAGACUCUUAAAGAGAAACUGAGGCUCAGACAGGCAUGACCUCUUCUCUUGUUAAGGACCAAGGAGGGUGCCCUUCACACAGGCAGGGAGCAGGUCCCCAGACCAGGCUACCCUCUAGCUCGGAGAGGGAGAAAACAGCACCCACCUGUGCAUACAGGUGCCUCCAUCUCCACCUCUCUUAUCCUCCAAUCCUCACCUUUCUAUCCCACCUUGUAAAAACCCACACUCAGGGCAAAGCCAGUAUGGACCCAGGUCCGAACGAUGCACGGAUACAGCGCACCACGGAUGUGUGCAUGUGUUUGGAGGGGUGACUGUUGGAUGCUGCAGAAAAGAAGGUUUAGUGAAGGAGGGCUCAUCCCUCUGCAGGGGCAGCGCUCUCCCAGAGAGGCCCACAGUCUCUGCCAUCACAGACGGGGUGCUCACUGAGGAGUAAACGUCCAUCCCAGUGGCCUGGCCUCUGCCUCCUGACCACAUAGCAGCUCGGAGAAAAUGAUGCUACAGUCGGUCUUUCUGACACCGCUUUGCUCCUAAUGAAGGCUCCUGUUUAUUCCUGGGAACAUCCCCUUCGGACACACCACCACCACCUUCCCUGUCAAGGAUGUCUGGGAAGUUGUGAAGAAGCUUCCAGAAAACAAAAGCCAGUGAACGGUCUUUCCUUGAACCAGGAUGGAGACAACUGGUGUAACGUAAGUGAAUUAAACCAGAGACAGUAUGGAGCACGUAGGCACAUGCAUUUCUUUGAAUACUGUUUUGGGGUUGGUAGAUGCAAACUAUUACAUUUAGAAUUAAGAAUACUCUUCUUUACUUACAGUCAAGGGUAUUAAUCGCGUCAAACCUACAAAAUGCCCUUCACAGCAGCACUUAGAUAAGUAUUUGACUAAAUAACUGGGUAGUAUAGUCCAAUCACAUUGAUAAAAAUUGACCAUCAGAGCUCCAAAUAAUUGCUAUAGAAACCAUUAGACUUCACUACUGAUCUAACUCAAAGGCCAGCCAACUACAGUCAGGGGGCCAUAUCCGGCUCACUGCCUGCUGCUGUGAAUCACAUCUUUUGGAAUAUAGCCACACCCAUUCAUUCCGGCAUUGUCCUCGGCUACUUUUGCGUGACAACUGCAGCCUUGACUGUGACAGAGACCAAAUGGCUUACAAAGCAAAAAUAUUUACUCUUUGACCCUUUACUGAAAGAAAAUGUGUGGCGUUAAGGAAGGCCACUGGGACUGCUUGGUGGAAAAGAUUCGGGGUUUGGAUAGUCAGCAGUCUGAACUCAGGGAAGAUCUAGGAGCACGUCAAAGAAUAGUCAAGCAUGACCUGGGGGGAGAAACCCCACGCAUCUGCAUUUGGCUUCGAAGCAGUGCACAGUCUGGCAGUGAGCACUUGUCACCUCACUGCUCAAAAAUGGAAGCGUGGGGCCUCUGGAUGUCAGGUGACCCCUGAGAAAUCUCACAAGGGAGUAAGCACCUGAAAGGCAAACUCCAGCCAACGUGCUUGGUUUUGCAAGUUGCAAUUGGCUCAGAUUUUCCUCUAAUUUUUAAGCAGCUUAUCAUCACCAUGAAAGGGAGGGAAAAGAACCUUCAAAAACUUGUCUUGCCUUUUUUUUUUUUCGGAUAAGAGCAUAUUACACCGUUUUAAAUUUUAGUCAAGAAGUUUUCCCACAUAAUUAUUCCUAAGACUUGUCUAUCACUUUAUAUCUUAAAAUACGUUGUCUUAUCCAGGAAAACUCUCCCCUCGCCCGCCCUCUCCUUUCUUUUUUUGGAAUAAACCUUGCUGAAGUAAACUGACUCUAAUAUUUCAAUUCAUCACCCUGUAUCUAAACCAAAAUAAUGUUUGUUGUGAACCUCCUUUAAGUACCAACUGAAAGAAAAAUUUAGAGAUUUUUUUUUUAUUGCCAAGGGGUGGGAAAAUACAUAAUAAUAUAGACAUGUGAUAAAAUAAAAUUAAUUUUUACAAGAGGCAAAAAAAAUCCUACAAUGCAUGAUCAAAUAAAAUUAACUCGCAUAUUUUAUCUACCAUAUAUGGUACCCCUAGCGUUUACCUGGUGCUGUGCUGUGUAUUUAGCAUAUAAAAUCCCCUAUAAUCCCUACGGCAAUCCUGGGAAGUGCAUGCAUUUUUAUGUGGGGUUUAUCAAUGAGAAAGCAAGCAGGCCCGAAAGCCAGACCGACCGCCUUCCUCCCCAGCCCACACCCCAACCACCGCGUGAAGUGCUGUCCCUAACGUCACAGAAAUUGCUAUUCCGAAAUAAUCAGUUCUAUCCUUGCUUGUAUUUCCCUUGACUGACCCGAAUAAUGUUUGUUUUUAUUUAGGAAUCCAGUUUCUUAAAGAAUGCAUGAUUUUAUUGAAGACGCUGCACAGGUCUCCCACGCAAUGGAAAGAGGCCCGUCAUUAAGCUCGAGACAGAGAGCCCGGAAACAUGCAUCAUCCCUCCAGGGGCAUUCCACGUCCUCGGAUGGGUGACAGAGAAACGGAAGAGCUUAGCAUCUGAGGGUCCGUUUUCUCUGUCACCCCUGCCGGUUCUCUAUUCAUCCACCUUGCAGACCUUAUUCUUGUUUCCUGAAAAUGCUUUAUAAAUCCUCUAGUGUUGUUUGCAUUUUAACUAGUUUCUUCUUACUCUCAAGGCACACUUUCCUAUCAAAGCACAGCAGAAAGUUCCACUGCUUGUCCCCACAUGUCACACAGGUACUGCUGAAAUGAGAACCCCUGCUAUUGUCCCUCUUUCUUUUCCUCACCUGCCGGGGCAAAGUCAGAAUUUACCCUGGAGAGACCCCAACCUUCUUGAAAAGACUUUCCUUUUUUUCCUGUUUUAUUACUCAGAUGAAUUUAUCACAUCUGUAGUUGUAUAAUGAUCAUAACAAUCUGAUUUCACAGGAUUUCCAUCCCACAGCCCAGGCACAUCUGCCCACCCCCCAAACUGUCUCCUCCAGAGACCUUAAGUUUUUCAAUGUCUGUGAGUCAGCAUCUGUUCUGCAAAGAAGUUCAGCCUGUCCUUUUUUCAGAUGCCACAUGUCAGUGAAAGCAUUUGAUGUUGGUGUCUCAUUGUAUGGCUGACUUCACUUAGCAUGAUAGUUUCUAAGUCCAUCCAUGUUGCAAAAAGUGCCUGUAUUUUGUUCUUUUAAUGGCUGAGUAAUAUUCCAUUGUGUAUACGUACCACCUCUUCUUGACCCAUUCCUCUGUUGAUGGACAUUUAGGUUGUUUCCAUGUCUUGGCUAUUGUAAAUAGUGCUGCAAUGAACAUCAGAGUACAUGUGUCUUUGCGAGUCACGGUUUUCUCUGGAUAGAUGCCAGGCGUGGGACUGCUGGAUCAAAUGGUAGUUCUAUGUUUAGCUUUCUGAGGAAUCUCCAUACUGCUUUCCACAGUGGUUGCACCAAUUUACAAUCCCACCAACAGUGUACUAGGGAUCCUUUUUCUCCACACCCUCUUCAACACUUAUUGUUUGUAGACUUUUUGAUGAUGGCCAUUCUGGCUGGUCUAAGGUGUUACCUCAGAAGUGGUUUUGAUGUGCAUUUCUCUAAUAAUGAGUGAUGUUGAACAUCUUUUCAUGUGUUUCUCGGCCAUCUGUAUGUCUUCUUUGGAGAACUGUCUGUUUAGAUCUUCUGCCCAUUUUUUGAUGGGGUUGUUUGUUUUUUUGGUAUGGAGCUGCAGAUGUUGUUUAUAAAUUUUGGAGAUUAAUUCCUUGUCAGUCGAUUCACUUGCAAAUUUUUUCUCCCAUUCUGUGGGUUGCCUUUUCAUGUUGUUUAGGGUUUCCUUUGCUGUGCAGAAACUUCGAAGUUUGAUUAGGUCCCAUUUGUUUAUUUUUGUUUUUACUGUCAGUACUCUAAGAGGUGGAUCUGAGAAGAUGUUGCUGUCGUUUAUGUCAGAGAGUUUUCCUCUAAGAGUUUGAUAGUGUUGAAAAGACUUUCCUGAAGCUUCUCUGGCUGGGGAACCACAGGAAGACAGUGUUGUCUGGGUGUCACAUGCCACCCACCCGCUCUGCUCGCACUCUGGUCCGGGGUCAGCCAUGGGCCCCAUCUGCUCUGCUGUGGAGCCGACCAGAAGUGUCCAGGAAGCCCUCAGAGAUGCAGCUUCAGUGCAGAUGUGUCUUCAGACAACCCUUGAGUAUUCCCUGGAGACUCUCUCUCCCUGUGUGCACAUACACUAAAGCUCGAGUUUAAUUUUUUUUUCACACUGUGGACAUAAGUUCACAUAAUUCCCACAUCAAACUGCUGGAAAAGCCAGUCUAACAUCACCCUAUUUUUAUGUUUUAACUCAGUUUGAAAAAAAAAAAAAAAUCACACACACACACAUUUUUUCCAGUGCCUGCCUAGUUCUAGAAAAAGCUCACUGGAAACUAGAAACACAGAAGACUGCCUUUACUUCCCAGUAAUGGAACUUGGUCACAAGGCUUCCAGGCCCUUCCCUUCCCCAGACACUCGUCAAUAUUCCCUUACUCAUAGAAGGCAAGCCCCCUCGCUCCUAGGGAUUCACAUCUGGGGGUCUUUCCCCUUUGGCACUUUUUCUCCUGAGGUGGGUGCUCUCACAGUGAACAGGGAAUGUUCUGGCUCUUCUGGCCCAGUCCCCUCCUCCUGCUCCUGUCUGCCCUCUGCAGGUUGGGAGAGUCAACAGUGUCCCGAAGGGGAGGGGCUUUGCCCCGCCUGUCCCAGGAGGGACUAUAUAUUGGGCAUUGGGGAACCCAAGCUAGAUUCCAGGUUCACUCACUUGAAAAUGAAAUCAGUAAAGGUAAGGAGUAAAAAAUAACGAUAUUUUUAAAAUAGUUACAAUUAUAACUUGAGCCAUGUAAACCCAUAGUAGCAUCAAAAAAAAAAAAAAAAAAAAAAAAA
Molecule: long non-coding RNA, 5229 nt
Filed under: Sus scrofa (pig)
Lineage: Eukaryota; Metazoa; Chordata; Mammalia; Artiodactyla; Suidae
Description: lncRNA (ENSSSCG00030034407.1)
Source: RNAcentral